RNAcentral lists this transfer RNA (94 nucleotides) under Galerina marginata CBS 339.88. It matches the Rfam family "tRNA". From Rfam's summary of the family: Transfer RNA (tRNA) molecules are approximately 80 nucleotides in length. Their secondary structure includes four short double-helical elements and three loops (D, anti-codon, and T loops). Lineage: Eukaryota; Fungi; Basidiomycota; Agaricomycetes; Agaricales; Galerinaceae. The record is from Rfam by way of RNAcentral.
GCUGGGAUGGCCGAGUCGUUAAGGCGAGUGAUUUGAAUUGUUCCUCACUAUCACUUGGAAUUUUUCCGCGUAGGUUCAAAUCCUGCUCCCAGCG